Molecule: ribosomal RNA, 232 nt
Filed under: uncultured bacterium
Lineage: Bacteria
Description: partial 16S ribosomal RNA
Rfam family: Bacterial small subunit ribosomal RNA
Source: RNAcentral
GAUCAUGGCUCAGGACGAACGCUGGCGGCGUGCUUAACACAUGCAAGUCGAACGAGAAUCUGCUGAAGGAGUAUUCGUCCAAACGGAAGCAGAGGAAAGUGGCGGACGGGUGAGUAACGCGUGAGGAACCUGCCUUGAAGAGGGGGACAACAGUUGGAAACGACUGCUAAUACCGCAUGAUGCAUAGAGGUCGCAUGAUCUUUAUGCCAAAGAUUUAUCGCUUCAAGAUGGG